UUAAGUGUUCCUAAGGGUGAGGGUGGUGAGACACUGGCACAGGUUGCCCAGGGAGGUUGUGGAUGUCCCAGCCCUGGAAGUGUUCAAAGACAGGUUGGGUAAGGCCUUGAGCAGCCUGAUCAAGUGAGAGGUGCCCCAGCCCAUGGCAGAGAGGGUUGGGACUAGAUGAUUUUUAGGGUCCCUUCCAUCUCAUGAUUCUGUGUUUGCAUUUUUUAAAAGAAAGGGAAAUGCUCAAUGAAGUCACAUCCUGGUGUUGCCCAGGUUGGUUACUGGAGGAUUUCAGAGCUGCUGCUGGUCUUGUCUGUCCCAGUCAUUGUGUGCACGGGCAUGGAAAGAGGGGGGAAAUGGCAGUUUUACUGUAGAUCUUUCGGGAAUGUUGAGAGUUGGGGCACAUUUGUCAGGACAGGCUGUUGGAAGACACUGGGAAUUUGGGGUCCUUGACUCUGCUCUGAGGUCUCCCUGCUGUCCUUCCUGUGUGAUGGAAGGCAAACUCAAAACCUGAGCCAAGUCUCUGGUCAAAAGUCAUGAGACGAGUGAAGUCUUCGUCUUUAAAAAUAGCAUCUUGAAAUAAUACAUUGUAUGUUACUUGAUUUGGAGCCUGUAAUUUUUAUCUUUGGUAUGCUCAAGCUUUUCUCCAAAACCCAAAGGGAAAUAACAACACUUUUUUUUUCUCAAUGAAAACUGAGAUUAGCAUCUAAUCAUCUUCCCCUUUAGAAGCUGAGGUUUUAGGAGCACCAACUUAGGUUAAACUAGAAAGUUUGGACAAUAGCUCUUUCUUUUGAGUGGAACUUUGAAGAACUCUAACUGAGGGAGACCACAGGCCCAAGACCAGUGGAGAAGUCUGUGAAGGGACAAAAUCCAUGAAAGAAUUGAAACCAGAGGAGAAGAUGAGACCAUGUGGAGGCCUGGCCAGUUGAAGUAGGUACCUUGGCCCUCUUUAGAGGCCUUAGAAGCAUUCCUGAGUUCUUCAUUGGUCCUCCCAGAUGUCAUCACUGAAUCUGUAAUUCAAAAGUUUGGCUAAAGAUGACAGGAACACUACAGAGAGCAGCACAGACCCUGUGAAGGCACCUGAAAGUGAACUCUGAAGAUCAAGACUAGGUUUCAGGAAGAGGAGGAUGGGUCAGAAAGUCCAGAUUCUGAAUAAUAAGAAGGAACUCUCAUUAAGGGCUUGGGUUAUUUGAUAAUAACCACGUGAGGUUGCUUCAGCAGAGCUGAAAUAUUACAAAAUAUUAGAGAAACUCCUGGAGAGAUGGUUUAGCAGUCAAAGCUGCAUGAUGAAGGGGGAAUUAUAGGGAAGACGCCACAAGGCUUCUCUCUGAGAUGAGCACCAACAGGACGACAGACAAAAGCGAGAAGUUGCACCCAGAGGUAUUUCAGUUGUGUAUAAGAAAACAAAAGUUCAAAGUGAGAGUGGUCAAGUAGUGGAACACUUUCCCAGAAUGGCUGUGGACUUUCCAUCCAUGCAGAUAAAACUAGGCUGGAUAAGUUUUUAAGCAACCUAGUUUAGCUUUGAAGAUAGCCCUGUUUGGAGCAGAAGGAAUAUAUGGUUUUCCAUGUCCAUGUUUAAAAAAGCAAGUGAAGCUCUUUAUUUGCUUUGGGCAAGAGAUUGAAGGUUAGUGUCACAAGAAUGUCACUGCACUACUAUUUCAGUGCCCUUUAGUUUAAAGGGAAAUCACUAGGGUUUUUUUGCUACUGUACCUUUCCUUAAAAUACAACUUUAUGUACCAGCCUCUCCAUCUUUGUUGGUGCAUAGUAUUAACAUCAGAAAUAAAGAGCCACAAAAUUAGAGAAAAGAUUCCUUCGUGUGGCUCUGUACAUUUAUACAGUAAAAGGUCUUCACCACUUCAUCUAAUUUGUAACAGUUUGUUGGUACAUCAGCUCUGGCACUUGCUCUCCGGCUUAAGACCUCAUAAAGUUUCAAAUAGCUACUGUAAUAAAGAACCUAAGACAUCACCAAUAAUCCAGCCCAAAAAUACUUUUUCUGCAUGCUGGAAAAAGAGUUUUGUUCCAGAACUAGGCUGGCUUGAGAUGCAGGAGUGGGAAACAGAGUCAUGACAGCAUUGCACUGUAUUGAAGGCUGAUCACUCAAGCUUUCAGGACAGUCAUGCAAGACACAAGUUUCUUCUGAGGCUAACAGCAGGCAGUAAAAGAACAUCCAGAUAUGUACUAGAUUAAAUGUGUUCCAAUACUCGAAUCACAGGAAAAAGAGUAUCCUGAGAGAAGAAAGAAGUGUGACUUGUAUGUUGGUAUUCACCUUAGUUUAUGUGUUUGGAAGAGCAUACUUGAAAGACAAAGCCUUUCCAGAAGUGUCAGUGACUCAUAGAUUCAAUGUCAGUCCUAAAAGCCUUCCAGCAUGAGGAGAAUAUGAAAUGAUGAAGCAUCCUCUGCGACACAUCUGCUUGAAGUACAGCACAGCGCUCUUUUAGCACCCAUGGUUUCAGGAAUACAGGCACUGAACGCCCUUUUUCACAGCAAGACAGGAUUGUCUCUUCUCUGUGGAAUUUUUUGUUUGAUUUUUUUCGUCUUCAAGUGCAGAUAGCCAAGGGAGGAAGUAAUCAACUGAUUGGUUACUUGUGACUACUGAACAAAGGCCCCUUUAAAGAAAUGUCUUUGAGUGUAAGCAAAGUUAUCAGUUGUUAACCUACUGUUGAUUUGCAUUAGAAAAUCACUUAGACAUUCUUCCUCCAAAAGUCCUGUCUACUGCUUUGCAGAGGCUCAGAUGGGGCACUGUAGCUUUGCUUCAUCAUCACUUACAUUGUGUAGUAUUCCGGGAGGAGUACAAGGAAGGGAUGAGAGAUCAACAGAGAAAUUAAAAUAAAUUAGGGAUAUAAUAUAUGAACCAUUGAUUAUAGCAGAAUUUCAACCCAGCAGUGCUAGAAAUGUGCUCUGUUAGUUUGGACAAGCCAUUGCACCAACUGACACCUCACACCCUUAUUUGAUUUAGGACAGAAGUUUCAUGAUUAGCUUAAGCCAAUCUGAGACUGUACUGCUGCCAAAGGGACAUUCCUCCUCCUUCUUACAUCAGACCAGGCACCCACAUGACCAUACAAUAAACGGAUCCAGCUGAAGACCAGCCCGGGGAAAAAGAAAAAAAAAAGAAGCAGACAUUAGUUUUUAAUUGAGUCUGGAAGAUAAGCAAGCUCACUGUUCCACCUGAAGGUCGCUGGGGCUAACAAAGUGGAUGGACUGGGAACAAGCAGCUAGAGGGCCAGAGGGGUUAGAGAGGGGCAGAGAGGUUAGAGAAUCUCCCUCAGUGGCAGUGAGAUUCAGCUGCCAAGGACCAGUAAGAUGAAAAAAUGUGUUCAAACCUUGCUGAGAUAGUCACCGCAUAAUUGUUUUCCUGCCCUGCAUGCCUGACCUUGGAUUUCUAUUCCUCUAAAUUUAAAAUCCUUCUUUGAAAAAUCAGACCACAGAGAGAGACAAUGAAGCAGAAUAGAUAGUCAUGCAACCAAGAAGACAACCUGGGUCUGAGACAUGACUGCUCAUUCUGUGGCUUUUGGUUACAGGUCUGUGCCACGGAGUAAGAACAGCAGUCCCUUCUGGAAAUGGCUGGGGAAUACCUCCUUGUAUGGAGGAAGCAGGAACAUUUGUGAGAUUUUGAAGACAGAAGAGUGAAAGAUGAGGUUCUAAAUCUGAAACUGUGGCUGUUAAAAUGAGCUGCUGAACACCAGAGAGCAAAGAUUACUGGAUUGCCUAACAGGCUGCUGCAGAACUUCUGAGCUUUUUAUUUUCAGUAAUAAAAAAAGAAAUCCUUGUGCGUCUCAACAUGUGGAUGUAAUUCUGUUUAUUUGUGGAAAAGAAGUGUUAAAAUAACAAUUUUUGAAAGCAACAGUUUUUCCUAAAGGAAAAAAAAUACUUUUUAUACAUAAAAUCUACUUCCUAUACUCUGUAUUUUUCUACUUUCUUAUUCCAGAUCCCUUCAGAGGAUAAUGCUGCAUCCUCAGCUCCCACACCCUCCAUCCUGGUCUCUGUGAUAUACAUUAUUUCAAAGGAGCACAGCUGGGUGCUGGACUGUAAUUUCUCAUGCAGCCAGGAUCAGAUCCAUUAGUUUAUGUGAAGGUUAGGACCAAGACCAUGGAAGUAUAUAGGGAGCUAAUAGAUAGACUGGUGUUCCUGCUGUGUUCACAGGGGCUUAAACCAGGGAGAAAAUGGUCAGGCACAUCCAUAUUAUUUUCACCUUUUGCUUCAUGAUUUGCUGUAGUCUCAUUCAUAAAUGACAAAGGAACCUCACCCUGCUGUGAGGUUCUCAUACCACAGAGAGCUGUAAUGAGUUUGUAACAAGAUGGAGAUAAGGAAGACUUUUUAGUGAUUACUCAGACAAAUCUCUGAGUACAAAUCAGAGAUGUACUGAGUGAAGGGUAUAUCUUUCCAUCACUCUCCAUCACUUAAACGUCUGAGGAUACUUAAGGUAUUCUCAUGGUGUUAUGUAAGAAGAACUCAGUAAGACAAGAGUGUCCUAAAUGCAUCUUUAUAGAUUUUUCCCUUUCGCUGUAUGUCAGAAACUUUUGUAAUUUGACAGCCACUGGCAAUGAUUAAUGGCUGGCAAUAUGGCCAGGGGCAACGCAUGUUUCAAAAUCAGUACCAGGAAAGAUUCUGUGAUCUUGGAAGUCUUUGGCUGUCGAACUGUCUUGCAAAAUGAAAAAUAAGUGUUUUGCCUGUGUGUUCGAUGAAGAGCUCCAAAUACAUAGCUGGAAUGUAGGUGAGAGACAGUGAAAAACAGCAGAAUAUUUACCUUGGAGUGUGACGCUAAACAGACAUUUAAUGGUUGUUUCCACUUCUGUCUUUCAUGAUAGCUAGAGUAUAUUUAUAUUUUUCAUAGAUGUGCAUAUAUGUGCAGGUGUAUACAUAUAAGUGCACCAGAAUCAAAUGUUUUAUUUUCAUUUUCUUAGAAGCAUCAGUUUUUCUGUACUGAAUCUUAACAUAUGCAAUAUAUAUCCAGAUACCGAGGUAAC
Chiroxiphia lanceolata (lance-tailed manakin) is the source of this 4952-nucleotide long non-coding RNA. RefSeq lists it as uncharacterized. The record is from RefSeq and is a predicted model, not a curated record. Lineage: Eukaryota; Metazoa; Chordata; Aves; Passeriformes; Pipridae. The transcript is spliced from 9 exons.